Molecule: unclassified non-coding RNA, 249 nt
Filed under: uncultured fungus
Lineage: Eukaryota; Fungi
Description: sequence contains ITS1
Source: RNAcentral
UUAACUAUUAUAUAGUACUCAGACAUCACUAAAAACAAGAGUUGUAGGUCCUCUGGCGGGCACUCAACAGCCGAAGCCGCUGGCACGAGGCGGCCCGCCAAAGCAACAAAGGUAAUUUAUUCAAGGGUGGAGGUCAGGACCGAACUUCUACGAGAGGUUCGACGGUAGCCCGUCACUGAGCAAGCUCAUGUGCCGUGCUGCCUAUCCUUUGCUCUAGUAAUGAUCCUUCCGCAGGUUCACCUACGGAAA